UACGACCUACGGGGCGCAGCAGUGGGGAAUAUUGGACAAUGGGGGAAACCCUGAUCCAGCGACGCCGCGUGAGUGAAGAAGUAUUUCGGUACGUAAAGCUCUAUCAGCAGGAAAGAAAAUGACGGUACCUGACUAAGAAGCCCCGGCUAACUACGUGCCAGCAGCCGCGGUAAUACGUAGGGGGCAAGCGUUAUCCGGAUUUACUGGGUGUAAAGGGAGCGUAGACGGAGGAGCAAGUCUGAUGUGAAAAUCCGGGGCCCAACCCCGGAACUGCAUUGGAAACUGUUUAUCUAGAGUGUCGGAGG
This 305-nucleotide ribosomal RNA is filed under the name uncultured bacterium. RNAcentral describes it as "bacterial SSU rRNA". It matches the Rfam family "Bacterial small subunit ribosomal RNA", at positions 333 to 655 of the family's 1533-position model. The record is from RNAcentral.